This 468-nucleotide ribosomal RNA is filed under the name uncultured bacterium. Its description in RNAcentral is "partial 16S ribosomal RNA". It matches the Rfam family "Bacterial small subunit ribosomal RNA", at positions 28 to 507 of the family's 1533-position model. The record is from RNAcentral.
GACGAACGCUGGCGGCGUGCUUAACACAUGCAAGUCGAACGGAAAGGCCCUGCUUUUGUGGGGUGCUCGAGUGGCGAACGGGUGAGUAACACGUGAGUAACCUGCCCUUGACUUUGGGAUAACUUCAGGAAACUGGGGCUAAUACCGGAUAGGAGCUCCUGCUGCAUGGUGGGGGUUGGAAAGUUUCGGCGGUUGGGGAUGGACUCGCAGCUUAUCAGCUUGUUGGUGGGGUAGUGGCUUACCAAGGCUUUGACGGGUAGCCGGCCUGAGAAGGUGACCGGCCACAUUGGGACUGAGAUACGGCCCAGACUCCUACGGGAGGCAGCAGUGGGGAAUAUUGCACAAUGGGCGGAAGCCUGAUGCAGCAACGCCGCGUGCGGGAUGACGGCCUUCGGGUUGUAAACCGCUUUCGCCUGUGACGAAGCGUGAGUGACGGUAAUGGGUAAAGAAGCACCGGCUAACUACGUG